RNAcentral lists this ribosomal RNA (654 nucleotides) under Inocybe submuricellata var. stenospermina. RNAcentral's name for it is "LSU rRNA". It matches the Rfam family "Eukaryotic large subunit ribosomal RNA", at positions 63 to 701 of the family's 3401-position model. Lineage: Eukaryota; Fungi; Basidiomycota; Agaricomycetes; Agaricales; Inocybaceae. The record is from RNAcentral.
AACUAACAAGGAUUCCCCUAGUAACUGCGAGUGAAGCGGGAAAAGCUCAAAUUUGAAAUCUGGCGGUUCUUGACCGUCCGAGUUGUAGUCUAGAGAAGUGUUACCUGUGCUGGACCGUGUAAAAGUCUUCUGGAAUGGAGCAUCAUAGAGGGUGAGAAUCCCGUCUUUGACACGGACUACCUGUACAUUAUGGUGCGCUCUCAAAGAGUCGAGUUGUUUGGGAAUGCAGCUCAAAAUGGGUGGUAAAUGCCAUCUAAAGCUAAAUAUUGGCGAGAGACCGAUAGCGAACAAGUACCGUGAGGGAAAGAUGAAAAGAACUUUGGAAAGAGAGUUAAACAGUACGUGAAAUUGCUGAAAGGGAAACGCUUGAAGUCAGUCGCGUUGGCUGGAAAUCAACCUUGCUCUUGCUUGGUGUACUUUCUGGUUGACGGGUCAGCAUCAAUUUUGACCGCUGGAUAAAGUCUUUGGGAAUGUGGCAUCUUAGGAUGUGUUAUAGCCCAUUGUCGCAUACGGUGGUUGGGAUUGAGGAACUCAGCACGCCGCAAGGCCGGGUUUCGACCACGUUCGUGCUUAGGAUGCUGGCAUAAUGGCUUUAAUCGACCCGUCUUGAAACACGGACCAAGGAGUCUAACAUGCCUGCGAGUGUUUGGGUGG